RNAcentral lists this ribosomal RNA (247 nucleotides) under Staphylococcus aureus. RNAcentral describes it as "partial 23S ribosomal RNA". It matches the Rfam family "Bacterial large subunit ribosomal RNA", at positions 367 to 616 of the family's 2925-position model. The record is from RNAcentral. Lineage: Bacteria; Bacillati; Bacillota; Bacilli; Caryophanales; Staphylococcaceae.
AUAAUCCUGUAGUCGCAAAUGUUGUCUCUCAUGAGUGGAGCAUGAGUACAAAGGUGCACGGGAAAUUCCGUCGGUAUCUGGGACGAGCAUCACCCAAGGCUAAAAACUCUCCAGAGACCGAUAGAGAACCAGACCCGUGAGGGAAAAGGGAAAAGCACACCGGAAGGGGAGUUGAAUAGAACCUGAAAACGUGUGCUUACAAGAAAUCAGAGCCCGUUAAUGGGUGAUGGUGGGCCUCUUGUAGAAU